GACGAACGCUGGCGGCGUGCUUAACACAUGCAAGUCGAACGGUGAUGGGUGCUUGCACCUUGAUCAGUGGCGAACGGGUGAGUAACACGUGAGCAACCUGCCCCCGACUCUGGGAUAACCCCGGGAAACCGGAGCUAAUACUGGAUAUGAGACGUACAGGCAUCUGUCGCGUCUGGAAAGAAUUUCGGUUGGGGAUGGGCUCGCGGCCUAUCAGCUUGUUGGUGGGGUAAUGGCCUACCAAGGCGACGACGGGUAGCCGGCCUGAGAGGGCGACCGGCCACACUGGGACUGAGACACGGCCCAGACUCCUACGGGAGGCAGCAGUGGGGAAUAUUGCACAAUGGGCGCAAGCCUGAUGCAGCGACGCCGCGUGAGGGAUGACGGCCUUCGGGUUGUAAACCUCUUUCAGCAGGGAAGAAGCGCAAGUGACGGUACCCGCAGAAGAAGCGCCGGCUAACUACGUGCCAGCAGCCGCAGUAC
RNAcentral lists this ribosomal RNA (480 nucleotides) under uncultured bacterium. RNAcentral describes it as "partial 16S ribosomal RNA". It matches the Rfam family "Bacterial small subunit ribosomal RNA", at positions 28 to 523 of the family's 1533-position model. The record is from RNAcentral.